UUAUGAUCAGUAUCCGGUUAGUUCUUGCUCUCCUGGUAGACAGAUUUGGUAGCGUUGUGUUAUUAAAUUUUAAAAUAUAAUCUUUUGUUUGGAGAGCUCCUUGAAAGAAAAAAGCACACAAACUUAAGUUACCUGAAAAAAAGAUAUAUGAACUUGAGUUACCUGGAAAAAAAUGUGCACACUUUGAAUGAUUGCAGAAACCAAGUUAACAGUUAGCGUGGUUAGACUAUUUUUUCCGCAUAACAAUACUGUGUAGGAAUUUAAUUAGAAUCUAUAAUUUUUGGAAAUCUCAAUUAAAUCUAAAGAAACUGUAAAACAACCAAGGUUGCACCAACACUGUCAUUCGCAUUCUGUUAUCCGUAGGUUAAAUACUUAAGUAACCACAGCAUAAUUUCCAGAAUCUUUCAUUUUUCAUUACCUGUCUCUACUUUUUAAAUCCUUUGUGAGACAGAAUUCAG
This 458-nucleotide unclassified non-coding RNA is filed under the name Hevea brasiliensis (rubber tree). Lineage: Eukaryota; Viridiplantae; Streptophyta; Magnoliopsida; Malpighiales; Euphorbiaceae. The record is from RNAcentral.